AUUGAACGCUGGCGGCAUGCCUUACACAUGCAAGUCGAACGGCAGCAUGGAGAGCUUGCUCUCUGAUGGCGAGUGGCGAACGGGUGAGUAAAGCAUCGGAACGUACCGUGUAGUGGGGGAUAACGUAGCGAAAGUUACGCUAAUACCGCAUACGCACUGAGGUGGAAAGCAGGGGAUCGCAAGACCUUGCGCUAUACGAGCGGCCGAUGUCAGAUUAGCUAGUUGGUAGGGUAAAGGCCUACCAAGGCGACGAUCUGUAGCGGGUCUGAGAGGAUGAUCCGCCACACUGGGACUGAGACACGGCCCAGACUCCUACGGGAGGCAGCAGUGGGGAAUUUUGGACAAUGGGGGCAACCCUGAUCCAGCCAUGCCGCGCGAGUGAAGAAGGCCUUCGGGUUGUAAAGCUCUUUCGGCCGGGAAGAAAUCGCACAGGCUAAUACUCUGUGUGGAUGACGGUACCGGCAUAAGAAGCACCGGCUAACUACGUGCCAGCCGCCGCAGUAA
RNAcentral lists this ribosomal RNA (504 nucleotides) under uncultured bacterium. RNAcentral describes it as "partial 16S ribosomal RNA". It matches the Rfam family "Bacterial small subunit ribosomal RNA", at positions 30 to 523 of the family's 1533-position model. The record is from RNAcentral.